RNAcentral lists this long non-coding RNA (1735 nucleotides) under Anas platyrhynchos platyrhynchos (common mallard). RNAcentral's name for it is "lncRNA (ENSAPLG00000017914.1)". The record is from RNAcentral. Lineage: Eukaryota; Metazoa; Chordata; Aves; Anseriformes; Anatidae.
UACUUGCUUUUUCUUCCUGCUGCUUUCAGAUUUGCUUUCUGAAGGAUCAGUUUAAACUCCUCCCAUAAUAGCAGAAUAACCCCAAGCCCUCGGAGCAGCAUCUGUUUUUAAAAGGAAGCCAUUUGUUUAUCACUGAACUUUCAUAGCAAAGAUGUGUCUUUAUCUUGGAGAAAUGUUGUUUGGAUAGGACCUCAGGAGGUCCCUUGUCCAGGGUAAAAUUAGGGAAUGUACAACCAUAUCUACACUUUCACUUAGAAGGUGUAUGCAAACAGAACAACCCAAAGCUUGCAAGUUAACAUCAGUUGGCUGAUUUCAGAUGCUACUGGGAUACAUCAGAACGAAGACCAUCUACAUUUAAUAAUUAAUCAGCAGUUUAUUUAGAAGUACUGAGGCAAAAUACUUUCAAAAAAUUCCAAUUUGCAUUGCAAAUGAAAAUAGUAACUUCAAACAAUGUAUCAGGAAAAUGUUGAGAAAAAGGUUAAAACAAGGAGAUCUUUCUAGUGAAUGUGAUUACGCAGAUGUUUUGGCAACUUGUAUUUUGUUGUCGUCUACCCUUCUGCUCUUGCAUCAAUGCCCCUGAAUUUUUAAAGCCUUUCAGUCCCACCUUUAUUUUUAUUAUUAUUUCUUUUCUUUUUUUUUUUUUUUUGUGAUACAGCCUUAUGACUUUGUUUUAUUCUUACCUGUAAUUCAUAUAUUGUUCAAGGACUUGAUAACAAAAUUCAGCUAGCUCACUUGGAAUCCUAUUUUGUUUUUCAAGAGCUUUUUAUAUAACAGUAAUUUUCUUAUGAGGCAUUUUUAACUGUCAUCCCUUGUACACAAAUGCAGGAACUACUUCACCUACAGACAAGUCAACUGUGUGCCUACUGGGUACAACAGCCUGUGGAACAGAUCUGCUGCUUCUGGUCUUUAAUUUCUUCUUCACUGCACCUGUUCUAUGUAGUGUCACCUCAGAGAUCUGACCUUGGCGAGGCGUUUCCAUGCACCGUGCUGAUGUGGAGCUGCUUAGCGCAGAGCCAUGAGACACUAUCAGCCUACCGCUGACUGUGGGUCUUUCCAGUGUUAAUGAGAGCUGGGCCUUAGUUUUCAAUGAAUAUCUUCCCGUAAAAGUAUGUCUGAAAGAAAAAUGAACUGGAAAUCAUGGGUUUAUACUGGGGGAAAAAAAAAAAAGUGUUUGUGGCAGUGGCUGUUGCCCAAGCAUUUGGUGUCCCUUAGCUACUUCAGAUCACACAGCAUGCUUCCUACUCAAGGACUCGUCUAGAAAUUGGCAACCUAAGUUGCAACUCUUUCAGCACACUUUUUCAAUUUGGCUUUGGCAGCUGUGGGAAAGUAUAAAUAACUUUUUUUUUUUAAAUUAUUAUUAUUAACAUAAAAAAAAUUAGAUUGCAAAUUUCCCCCAAAAUUGUAAAAUUUAAAAUCCAAAGAAUUGAUGACCUGGCUGGAAUACAGAACUAGAAGGUCUCCACAGGAACCUAUCAUCGUUUGAAGACACAUUACAGGAGUUAAGAUGAAGGCGACACACUGUGCUGGUUCGAUUUUGACCAUUGAGUGCUUUGCUAUGAAACAUGUGGUUGAGUCACCAUCCCUGGAAGUCUUUAAAAAGUGUUUAGAUGUAGAGCUUAGUGAUAUGGUUUAGUGGAGGACUUGUUAGUCUUAGGUCAGAGGUUGGACUAGGUGAUCUUGGAGGUCUCUUCCAACCUAGAUGAUUCUGUGAUUCUGUGUUAUUUUUGGUGAAUUU